Molecule: transfer RNA, 63 nt
Filed under: Cheironitis sp. MJTNT-2012
Lineage: Eukaryota; Metazoa; Arthropoda; Insecta; Coleoptera; Scarabaeidae
Description: tRNA-Thr
Rfam family: tRNA
About the family: Transfer RNA (tRNA) molecules are approximately 80 nucleotides in length. Their secondary structure includes four short double-helical elements and three loops (D, anti-codon, and T loops). Further hydrogen bonds mediate the characteristic L-shaped molecular structure. tRNAs have two regions of fundamental functional importance: the anti-codon, which is responsible for specific mRNA codon recognition, and the 3' end, to which the tRNAs corresponding amino acid is attached (by aminoacyl-tRNA synthetases). tRNAs cope with the degeneracy of the genetic code in two manners: having more than one tRNA (with a specific anti-codon) for a particular amino acid; and 'wobble' base-pairing, i.e. permitting non-standard base-pairing at the 3rd anti-codon position.
Source: RNAcentral
GUUUUAAUAAUUUAAAUAAAAUAUUGGUCUUGUAAACCAAAAAUAAGACUCUCUUUUAAAACU